GCGGCGAACGGGUGCGUAACACGUGAGAACCUGCCCAAAAGAGGGGGAUAGCCCGCCGAAAGGCGGAUUAAUACCGCAUAUUAACAAAGCAGCAAUGCGCUUUUGGAUGGGCUCGCGGCCUAUCAGCUAGAUGGUGAGGUAAUGGCUCACCAUGGCUAUGACGGGUAGCUGGUCUGAGAGGACGACCAGCCACACUGGGACUGAGACACGGCCCAGACACCUACGGGUGGCAGCAGUCGAGAAUUUUUCACAAUGGGGGCAACCCUGAUGGAGCGACGCCGCGUGGAGGAUGAAGGUUUUCGGAUUGUAAACUCCUGUCAUGAGAGAACAAAGCCCGCAAGGGUCUGAUAGUAUCUCAAGAGGAAGGGACGGCUAACUCUGUGCCAGCAGCCGCGGUAAUACAGAGGUCCCAAGCGUUGUUCGGAUUCACUGGGCGUAAAGGGUGCGUAGGUGGCGGGGAAAGUUGCGUGUUAAACCUCAAGGCUUAACCUUGAAACCGCUCGCAAUACUACUCUGCUAGAGGACUGUAGAGGAGAAUGGAAUUCACGGUGUAGCAGUGAAAUGCGUAGAUAUCGUGAGGAAGACCAGUGGCGAAGGCGAUUCUCUGGGCAGUUCCUGACACUGAGGCACGAAGGCCAGGGGAGCAAACGGGAUUAGAUACCCCGGUAGUCCUG
Molecule: ribosomal RNA, 674 nt
Filed under: uncultured Spartobacteria bacterium
Lineage: Bacteria; Pseudomonadati; Verrucomicrobiota; Spartobacteria
Description: bacterial SSU rRNA
Rfam family: Bacterial small subunit ribosomal RNA
Source: RNAcentral